This 248-nucleotide ribosomal RNA is filed under the name uncultured bacterium. Its description in RNAcentral is "partial 16S ribosomal RNA". It matches the Rfam family "Bacterial small subunit ribosomal RNA", at positions 524 to 771 of the family's 1533-position model. The record is from RNAcentral.
UACGAAGGGGGCUAGCGUUGCUCGGAAUUACUGGGCGUAAAGCGCACGUAGGCGGCUUUCUAAGUCGGGGGUGAAAUCCUGGAGCUCAACUCCAGAACUGCCUUCGAUACUGGAGAGCUUGAGUCCGGGAGAGGUGAGUGGAACUGCGAGUGUAGAGGUGAAAUUCGUAGAUAUUCGCAAGAACACCAGUGGCGAAGGCGGCUCACUGGCCCGGUACUGACGCUGAGGUGCGAAAGCGUGGGGAGCAA